GACGGAUGGGGCUAGCGUUGUUCGGAAUUACUGGGCGUAAAGGGCGCGUAGGCGGCCAUCUAAGUUAGACGUGAAAGCCCUGGGCUUAACCUAGGAACUGCGUUUAAUACUGGAUGGCUAGAGUAUGGUAGAGGAAAGCGGAAUUCCUAGUGUAGAGGUGAAAUUCGUAGAUAUUAGGAAGAACACCAGAGGCGAAGGCGGCUUUCUGGACCAUUACUGACGCUGAGGCGCGAAAGCGUGGGGAGCAAACAGG
RNAcentral lists this ribosomal RNA (253 nucleotides) under uncultured bacterium. Its description in RNAcentral is "partial 16S ribosomal RNA". It matches the Rfam family "Bacterial small subunit ribosomal RNA", at positions 524 to 776 of the family's 1533-position model. The record is from RNAcentral.